UACGAAGGGAGCAAGCGUUGUUCGGAAUUACUGGGCGUAAAGGGCGCGUAGGCGGAUGAUCUAGUCAGAGGUGAAAGCCCUGGGCUCAACCCGGGAAUUGCCUUUGAAACUGGUCGUCUUGAGUGCGAGAGAGGGUGGCGGAAUACCCAGUGUAGAGGUGAAAUUCGUAGAUAUUGGGUAGAACACCAGUGGCGAAGGCGGCCACCUGGCUCGCAACUGACGCUGAGGCGCGAAAGCGUGGGGAGCAAACAGG
RNAcentral lists this ribosomal RNA (253 nucleotides) under uncultured bacterium. Its description in RNAcentral is "partial 16S ribosomal RNA". It matches the Rfam family "Bacterial small subunit ribosomal RNA", at positions 524 to 776 of the family's 1533-position model. RNAcentral also lists the same sequence under 1 other name. The record is from RNAcentral.